Non-coding RNA from Acanthosepion pharaonis, 113 nucleotides. Lineage: Eukaryota; Metazoa; Mollusca; Cephalopoda; Sepiida; Sepiidae. The record is from the annotation of a GenBank genome assembly.
UUGCGGCCAUAUUACGUUAAAACACCGAUUCCCGUACGAUCACCAAAGUUAAGCAACGUUGAGCCUGGCCAGCACCUAGACCGGUGGCGGCUUGAAAAUACCAGAUGCUGCUG